RNAcentral lists this unclassified non-coding RNA (391 nucleotides) under soil metagenome. Its description in RNAcentral is "partial contains 5.8S ribosomal RNA, internal transcribed spacer 2, and large subunit ribosomal RNA". The stretch from base 1 to 122 matches the Rfam family "5.8S ribosomal RNA", at positions 35 to 154 of the family's 154-position model. The record is from RNAcentral.
GAUGAAGAACGUAGCGAAAUGCGAUACUUGGGGUGAAUUGCAGAAUCCCGUGAACCAUCGAGUCUUUGAACGCAAGUUGCGCCCGAAGCCAUUAGGCCGAGGGCACGCCUGCCUGGGCGUCACACGUCGUUGCCCCCCCAUCUACUCCUUCGGGAUUGCGGGGGGCGGAUGAUGGCCUCCCGUGCGCCUCGUCGCGCGGUUGGCCUAAAUGCCAAGUCCUCGGCGACGCACGCCACGACAAUCGGUGGUUGCGAAACCUCGGUUGCCUGUCGUGUGCGGUCGUCGCGCAUCGAGGGCUCGAAAAAAUUGCCGGGCUUCGGCUCGACUUUCAACGCGACCCCAGGUCAGGCGGGGUUACCCGCUGAAUUUAAGCAUAUCAAUAAGCGGAGGA